Molecule: ribosomal RNA, 250 nt
Filed under: uncultured bacterium
Lineage: Bacteria
Description: partial 16S ribosomal RNA
Rfam family: Bacterial small subunit ribosomal RNA
Source: RNAcentral
UACCGGCUGCUCGAGUGAUAGCGUUGUUCGGAAUUAUUGGGCGUAAAGCGCGUGUAGGCGGCUAUUUAAGUCAGAUGUGAAAGUCCCGGGCUCAACUCGGGAAGUGCAUUUGAAACUGUUCGGCUAGAGUUAGGGAGAGGAAAGUGGAAUUCCUGGUGUAGAGGUGAAAUUCGCAGAUAUCAGGAGGAACACCGGUGGCGAAGGCGGCUUUCUGGCCCUCUACUGACGCUGAGACGCGAAAGCGUGGGGA